RNAcentral lists this ribosomal RNA (468 nucleotides) under uncultured bacterium. Its description in RNAcentral is "partial 16S ribosomal RNA". It matches the Rfam family "Bacterial small subunit ribosomal RNA", at positions 28 to 507 of the family's 1533-position model. The record is from RNAcentral.
GACGAACGCUGGCGGCGUGCUUAACACAUGCAAGUCGAACGGAAAGGCCCUGCUUUUGUGGGGUGCUCGAGUGGCGAACGGGGGAGUAACACGUGAGUAACCUGCCCUUGACUUUGGGAUAACUUCAGGAAACUGGGGCUAAUACCGGAUAGGAGCUCCUGCUGCAUGGUGGGGGUUGGAAAGUUUCGGCGGUUGGGGAUGGACUCGCGGCUUAUCAGCUUGUUGGUGGGGUAGUGGCUUACUAAGGCUUUGACGGGUAGCCGGCCUGAGAGGGUGACCGGCCACAUUGGGACUGAGAUACGGCCCAGACUCCUACGGGAGGCAGCAGUGGGGAAUAUUGCACAAUGGGCGGAAGCCUGAUGCAGCAACGCCGCGUGCGGGAUGACGGCCUUCGGGUUGUAAACCGCUUUCGCCUGUGACGAAGCGUGAGUGACGGUAAUGGGUAAAGAAGCACCGGCUAACUACGUG